AACGAACGCUGGCGGCAUGCCUAACACAUGCAAGUCGAACGACACCUCCGGGUCUAGUGGCGCACGGGUGCGUAACGCGUGGGAACCUGCCCUUAGGCUCGGAAUAACUCCCCGACAGGGGUGCUAAUAUCGGAUAAUGUCUUCGGACCAAAGAUUGAUCGCCUUUGGAUGGGCCCGCGUUGGUUUAGCUUGUUGGUAGGGUAAAAGCCUACCAAGGCGUGGCUCCAUAGCUGGUCUGAGAGGAUGGGCAGCCACACUUGGAGUGGGACGCGGUCCGGAAUCCUACGCGAUGCGGGAAUGGGUGAUAUAGGAAUACCGGGGGAGUGCUGAAGGAGCAAGGGCGGGAGAGUGAUGAAGGCCGUAGAGUAGUAAAGCACGUUUACCCGGGAUGAUAAUGACGGUACCGGAAGAAUAAGCACCGGCUAACUCCGUG
Molecule: ribosomal RNA, 433 nt
Filed under: uncultured bacterium
Lineage: Bacteria
Description: partial 16S ribosomal RNA
Rfam family: Bacterial small subunit ribosomal RNA
Source: RNAcentral